UGGGGAAUAUUGCACAAUGGGCGAAAGCCUGAUGCAGCGACGCCGCGUGAGGGAUGACGGCCUUCGGGUUGUAAACCUCUUUCAGCAGGGAAGAAGCGAAAGUGACGGUACCUGCAGAAGAAGCGCCGGCUAACUACGUGCCAGCAGCCGCGGUAAUACGUAGGGCGCAAGCGUUGUCCGGAAUUAUUGGACGUAAAGAGCUCGUAGGCGGUUAGUCGCGUCUGCUGUGAAAACUCGAGGCUCAACCUCGGGCUUGCAGUGGGUACGGGCUGACUAGAGUGCGGUAGGGGUGACUGGAAUUCCUGGUGUAGCGGUGGAAUGCGCAGAUAUCAGGAGGAACACCGAUGGCGAAGGCAGGUCACUGGGCCGCAACUGACGCUGAGGAGCGAAAGCAUGGGGAGCGAACAGGAUUAGAUACCCUGGUAGUCCAUGCCGUAAACGUUGGGCACUAGGUGUGGGGUCCAUUCCACGGAUUCCGUGCCGCAGCAAACGCAUUAAGUGCCCCGCCUGGGGAGUACGGCCGCAAGGCUAAAAACUCAAAGGAAUUGAC
This 550-nucleotide ribosomal RNA is filed under the name uncultured bacterium. RNAcentral describes it as "partial 16S ribosomal RNA". It matches the Rfam family "Bacterial small subunit ribosomal RNA", at positions 355 to 914 of the family's 1533-position model. The record is from RNAcentral.